Molecule: long non-coding RNA, 2624 nt
Organism: Cyprinus carpio carpio
Lineage: Eukaryota; Metazoa; Chordata; Actinopteri; Cypriniformes; Cyprinidae
Source: Ensembl
UAAGAUUUGAUUUGUUUUAUUCAACAAAGUUGUUAAGCCUUUACAAUGAGGUCAUACAGUAUUUCUGCCCAAAUCCACAUAAAGAUACAGAAAAUGACAUAAAGAGUGGAAAACAGCACACAGAGUAAAUAGAAAUAGAUGUUAAAAAUGUAGAAAGAGAUUGAAGAUUACAUGUCCAGAGGUUAAAAUUACAAUUACAUUACAGCAUUGCCAUAAAAUAAUUGCUUUGUUCCGAAAAAUGUGUGUUGGGUGAUCCUCAGAAAAAGUCCAUCUGGAGAACUGGGAAAGGCAUCUCAGUGUUUGGAGAAUAGUCGAUCGGUAAGCGGUUGAAAUAUGCGCCAUCAGCAUGUCCGAAGUGUCUCGAGUCCGCAGAGUGUCGUUGGCUCGGUGUUUCUUCAAUAUCGGAGCUGUAGCAUUGUCGGUCGAAGUCUGGUAGCGAAGUCGUUGUUCCUCAAAUGAAUCUGCGUAUAAUGCGCUCCAGCAGGAACUGCCAAACAAGUUGUAACAUCUGCUGCCAGCAGGUUGCAUUCUGCGCUGUCGUAGUCGGCGAGCCUGAGCUCCGCCCAAAAUCAGGCUUCCACAGCGUUACGCAGCCGCAUAUGUUAAUGAUGUUCACGGAUGUAGUUUCUUCAGGCAUCGGAGCAAACGGCUGAAACACCACAGAAGAUGAAAUGAAUGAUCGUCCAAGGCAAAAUGUGCUUGAACUGGGACAAAGAAUCAUCCCGUGGAGAAGACCCACAAAGAUGUGCAGCCGGGUCGGUGCUUUCCUUUCCGCCGGAAAGGUUGGAGUGGUGGCUAUCUCCCUCUGCCUUCAAAAAAAGUUUCACUCAGUAGCUAUCUUUUAUGGAGAGAGAGAGAGAAAAAGAACUUAACUAUAUUAGAAACUCACACAUAUUUUUUACGUUUGUUAAAAUUUGCAGAAAGGUUUUUUUGCGAGCGACCCAAUUAAAGCAACAAUCAUAAUGACAGACUCACUAUUUAAAUAAGAUUUGAUUUGUUUUUAUUCAACAAAGUUGUUAAGCCUUUACAAUGAGGUCAUACAGUAUUUCUGCCCAAAUCCACAUAAAGAUACAGAAAAUGACAUAAAGAGUGGAAAACAGCACACAGAGUAAAUAGAAAUAGAUGUUAAAAAUGUAGAAAGAGAUUGAAGAUUACAUGUCCAGAGGUUAAAAAUUACAAUUACAUUACAGCAUUGCCAUAAAAUAAUUGCUUUGUUCCGAAAAAAAUGUGUGUUGGGUGAUCCUCAGAAAAAAAGUCCAUCUGGAGAACUGGGAAAGGCAUCUCAGUGUUUGGAGAAUAGUCGAUCGGUAAGCGGUUGAAAUAUGCGCCAUCAGCAUGUCCGAAGUGUCUCGAGUCCGCAGAGUGUCGUUGGCUCGGUGUUUCUUCAAUAUCGGAGCUGUAGCAUUGUCGGUCGAAGUCUGGUAGCGAAGUCGUUGUUCCUCAAAUGAAUCUGCGUAUAAUGCGCUCCAGCAGGAACUGCCAAACAAGUUGUAACAUCUGCUGCCAGCAGGUUGCAUUCUGCGCUGUCGUAGUCGGCGAGCCUGAGCUCCGCCCAAAAUCAGGCUUCCACAGCGUUACGCAGCCGCAUAUGUUAAUGAUGUUCACGGAUGUAGUUUCUUCAGGCAUCGGAGCAAACGGCUGAAACACCACAGAAGAUGAAAUGAAUGAUCGUCCAAGGCAAAAUGUGUGAGCUCUGCAAGCUUUCCAUUCAAUUUAUAGGCUAUGACAGGUUACACAUUCCCAUGAAAUUGUCUUUCAGUUAGACACUGCUGCGCUCAUGGGUAGCCAAACACACCUAAUGUAGGAUGAAACAGCGCGGUAUUAAAGUGUUCGCGCAGCGCUGAACGGUCAUAGGUGCGGCUCAAGGAACCGAGCUGCGCGACCGACUCCACGGCGCGGAGAGGACGUGUUUAACAGCGCCACCGAACUGACAGCGCCGCGCGAACAUACUCUUCUUCUAAUAACGUUUUUAUGGCGGAUGGCAAACCAACUUUUUAUAUAUAUAUUUUACCUUGUUCUACAUGCUCUUUCAAAAGGCUUGACUAAUUAAAUGAUUUAACACCCAUGUUUCUUACUUCCCAUGUUUAUUUUUAUAUGUAUAAAUACUAUAUAUUUGGGAUUUUGGUUGUCUCUAGUAAAGGGAACAUUGAGCCAAUGAGCCGCGCCUAUGAUAUGACCGGUCAGCGCUGCGCGAACACUCUAAUACCGCGCUGUUUCGUCCCACAUUUGUCGCAGUUGUAACGUACACUGAAGGCUAAGUAGCUACAGAAAACCAUAAGGCUAAUUCAAAGUACCACACAACUGUCAAAGACACCCAUACACAAUAAGGAUAACAGAGCGGGUAAGUUGUCACAUGGUUAAGUUGUCACACUGUUCAUAACUCCAAAACUUGAGGCUCUAUCUCAAACAUCAAAUAGCCACUUUGUGUGACUUCUUCUUCAAUAGUCAAUUUCCUGUUCAAAUGUGGUCAAGAUCGCUCUAAUGUGAGUUUAGCACAAUUUCCUUAUUUUUUUGGCUUAAAAAGUAAAAAAAAAAAAAAACUUCAAAUUGUAUGCAAUACAACUUUGUUAGGUAUGAAUGUUAAAAAUUAUUAUUUUGCACAAAAUAGAGUAGACAAUAACGUG